RNAcentral lists this ribosomal RNA (211 nucleotides) under uncultured bacterium. Its description in RNAcentral is "partial 16S ribosomal RNA". It matches the Rfam family "Bacterial small subunit ribosomal RNA", at positions 524 to 733 of the family's 1533-position model. The record is from RNAcentral.
UACAGAGGUCCCAAGCGUUGUUCGGAUUCAUUGGGCGUAAAGGGUGCGUAGGCGGCGCGGUAAGUCGGGUGUGAAAUCUCGGAGCUUAACUCCGAAACUGCAUUCGAUACUGCCGUGCUUGAGGACUGGAGAGGAGACUGGAAUUUACGGUGUAGCGGUGAAAUUGCGUAGAUAUCGUAAGGAAGACCAGUGGCGAAGGCGGGUCGCUGGA